GGCGGCCAUUUUGAAUAUUCCAAUGUCAAACCCCCGCUGCAAUUUUUUCCCUCCAUAAUCAUAUACCAUUUAAUGUCUCUAGAAUAAAUUUAACAUUAAUGUUCUGGAAUGUUCUGUGAAAAUUCAAAGUUUUGACCUUUUUGCAUUGUUUCCAUGGUAACAACAGCUAUUUUGGAAAUUCCAACUCCAAAUGCCACAUCUUCCAAUGUUGCUCAUCGUUACUGUGAAGUUUCGUGAAGUUUGGAGCAUUUUGAGAUUUUUGAAAUUUUUGGUGUAGUUCCCAUGGCGACAUAGUAGUUCCAAUGAGUGCCAAAAUCAUCCAACACCUGUAUAUAGUGGGCACCUACAUUGUAUUAAAAUAUGAUGAUUCUGAGUUAAAGCAUUACCAUACAGUUCACCAAAACUAAAAACUGUAUUUUUUCACAUUUGUUCUGUUUCCAUGGUAACGACAGCCAUUUUUUACCAUUCCAAUGUCUCUUGCACAACUCCACAUGGCGGUUCAUAUUAUGGUAUAGUUCCAUCAACAUUGGUCUGCCCAAUUCUGAGAAAUAGUAUGGACAAAAUGUGUGGAAGAAUAAAAAUAAUAACUAGAUUUGCCAUUGCAAGCAAUAGCGGAUGGCACCCUUCCCACAUUGCCACUAAACUGCAGCCAGUUUGAAAAUUCCAAAGUCAAAGA
Molecule: long non-coding RNA, 676 nt
Filed under: Mytilus galloprovincialis (Mediterranean mussel)
Lineage: Eukaryota; Metazoa; Mollusca; Bivalvia; Mytilida; Mytilidae
Source: RNAcentral